This 6678-nucleotide long non-coding RNA is filed under the name Elaeis guineensis (African oil palm). RNAcentral's name for it is "long non-coding RNA (EGUI_LNC016010)". Lineage: Eukaryota; Viridiplantae; Streptophyta; Magnoliopsida; Arecales; Arecaceae. The record is from RNAcentral.
UGUAGAUUUAUGGUGUCCUAACCACAAGAUUCUUGGCAGUUUAAGGCAUCUUCAAAGUUCUGACUGUGAGAAGUAAUGGGCAAAUCACAGUUAGCUAACUAAUGUUUUGCUAGGAUAAGGUAGAAGUGAUAAACUGACCUCAUAUAGAUAGGACAAGGCUUGUUGGUUGAAGGUAUGGUAGGAUAAGCUAACAUGUCUCUCAGGUGGAGUAGAUUGUUCAUGAAUGCUGAUCCAUUCUAGGACAGGCUGUUGAAAUUUCUCAAUUAUGCAAGCACUUUCACUAAAAAUCUGAACCAUUGAGGAGCAGUGAUGAAUUGCGAAGUUCUAAUUACCAAAAAAACCAAGAUGCAAACAUUUAGAUAUGAUUCAUGCUUUGGGUUCAGCAUUAGAAUCCACAUAAGUCAUGCAUAGAACAUCGGAAUACAUGAAUAAAUUGCCUCACUUUUCAAGUUCAUGCUCAAGGUGGAUUUUAGACCAGGAUUCUUUCAUGGAGAGACAUAUCAUAAGUCUGGCAACGGAAAAGGCAAGAAUAAGGCAGUGAAGACUUGUGAUUAACCGCAUAUCAUAUCGAUAAGGAAUGCUUGUGACCACUACCAUGUGAACAAGGUCAGGUAUGAAUCAAUGGGUGUGCUCAUGAAUUCACAACUACCGCCUUUGUUGAAAGCAAGACUUCAUUUUAUCCUUAAAACAGUCAAGAAAAGGAAUUUUCAAGUUUUAUGCUGAUUCCAGAGACUUUAACUGACAGCUACUGAAUCCACAACCUUUUUCUCCAGAGCUUACGAAACGCUGAUAUUUAGCUCAUAUUUCUCUCGUGACUAUAUGCAGGGAAAAUGUAAGUGUGUAUACUUAACUAAAUCUAAAAUAUGAGUAGAAAUCAUCAUGACAAUCAUCAAAAGUGGUCUUGCAGAGUAAGAACUUCUAAUCUAUAGGUACCAUACUUCAAGUGUAACACUCUAACAAUAUGUCCUCGCUUAUUAAACAACUUGAUUAAGCUCCUUCUCCUAGACCUUUCAUUGAAUCAUGGUUUAUACAUCAUAACAUUCUUAACAUAGUCAUGCCUACAUCACUGAUAAUAUUAUAGAUAAAUCCUCUUCUAUCAAAACUUGCAAUGAAACAAAGUCAACAUGUUUUACCCUUCUCCUAAAUUUUGAUAGGAUAUGCCAAUAUCAAGUUAUGUAUCAGAGUCCAUGCCUAUAUGGCCUUAACAAAAGUAGUGCAAACCUUCUCCACACAAUAAGUAUGUGCAGAAACAAAAAACAAGGUACCAGUCAUGAAAUUUCAAUAUCUCAAGCAAGAGAAGCAUCCUUGUACCUUGCAUGAACUGGACAGUUUUCAUGGAUGGUCAGAGGACUCACAACCCUGUGAACGAUGAUCAAGCUGUGGAACCUAUACCCAUACUUCGUAUUUCUAGCAUACAGAUUGUCUCCCAUCAGUUUCCCAGGUUCAAAAAGAGGCCUGAUCAUGAUUGAGUCUACAGUUAUUUCUCAAGAUAAUCUAUAGUAAAAUAGUACAUCAACAUCAGAAAUAUCUGAAACUUUGAUCUGCUUCAACAUGUUCAAAUCCUGGAAUGAACCAUUAGCAGAUAUCUCAACUUGAUAUAACUCCAUGGUUCAUAGCUUUCUCGGAAAUCCAUUCAUGCAAAACCCUCCUUAAACUUUGCUUGCUUUCUAUGUUUGUUUGCUGGUGCUUUGCACUUAAGAGUUGUUCUAUUGCAGCAUCCUAAAAGAUGCUUUGAUGUCCUCCACAAUGCCAUAUGCAGUAAUUCAUAAUAGCAGUCGGGUCAAUGCAAUUUCUGGAUUCCUUUUAUGAAACACUUUAAAUAGGACUGCUUUAGAUGAAUUCUUGUUAGAUUUAUGGAUACAAACUUCACUUUGGUACAUCAGAAUUUACUUUCUAUUACCGUACCAAGCUGUAAUUCUAAGCAGAUACUAAAGUUCUGUUGAACAGCUUCAGUUUGGCCACCUUUCUGUAAAUGAUGGGAAUUGCUAUGGGUUUUUUACGUUGCAUGUAAUACACCACCUCCAAGUCCAGUUACUGUUUUUUUUUUUUUGAAAAAAAAAUUCACACAUAGUUUGAGCUCCCAAAAAAAUCCUAAAGAUAGCAUUAGAGGGCUAUACUCGAGUUUAAGUAAAGUUGUUGCCAGUAGAGUUGAUGUAAUCCCAAGCAUAACAAUCUUAGCCCAUAGGAACUUGGUCUGAGCAACCUCUCAUCUCUUUUAAAGCAUCCAAAAAAUGAUUCUCUUGUGGUAAUCCAACAACAUACAAAAUAAGCCCAGAGUAAGUGCUAAUUUCAAGUUAUGAACCUCGAAUUGUUCAAAGUGAUAAUUUCAAGUUAUGAAGCUCGAAUUGUUCAAAGAAAAUUUAAUCAAAUCCCUGGUGUUCGGAAGUUCCAAUUUAAACCUCAUCUAUAAAUCUAGUCAUGCCAACAGACUUGCACUACAUCAAUCCUGGUUUGAGAUUUUGCAAUCAGCUCCAACCUCAUGAUCUGAUAACAAAGGCUAGUGUUGAUUUUUUCUCAUAAUCAGAUCACUGAUUUGGCUACUUCAGCAUCUCUUGAUCCUUGAUAAUGAAGCAUCCCAUCCACCAUCGGAUAACAUUGCCCUACAAUCCAACAUAUCACAACCAAAUAGCGAUUAGUUGUACUUUCUGAAGGGCAUUAUUUCUUAAAUUAACAAUCUGAUCCUGCAUGGUGCUGCACUGCUGCUAUUAUGGUUCUUCAAUAGCGGGGUCCUCUAUGCUUUUUCUGUUUCUACCAUGUUAAAAUCUUCCGCAAUCAAACUGCCAUCCAUUAGGUCAAUAUAGCAAUAGGAUUGUGUUCCCUCAAAUGGGAGGUGACAAAGUUAUCCAUACUUAAACCCUCAAUUGUCCAACUUUUUUCUAGUGCUUGGUAUAAUAUAUUUUAUCUUCAUUGCAACAGUAAUAUUGCAAGAAUCUAAGCACAUCUUCUUCUUGUCAUCAAUAUAGUCGAACAAGUUGCAGUUUUCCUACAUAAUCUUAAAGUUUCAAAUAGCCUCCAUGGUGUUGAAUCAAUUUGCUCUAAUAUCACAAAAUCUGGUUCUAACCCAGAAAAUCAAUCUUAAAAAGAUAUAGUUAUGAUUUUGGGUUAAAAAAUAAUGGAGAUAUGAAUGUGGUGUUCAUUCAAUUUCAUUAUUAAAAAAAGGUAGGUGGGGCUGGUGGUCUACAUGCCUACUUUGCAUAUUCUCACACUGUGGGUGAAGAAUGGAGGUAAAAUAAGAUAAAUUGAAUUCAAACAAUUUUGAAUGGAAUAGAUAUGGCCAGCUAAAUAAACUGGUAUCUUUUUAUGAGAUAACAUUUAUGUCCAUAAUACCACUGCCCCACAUUUCAACAAUGACAAUUCGGUGUGUGCAAACACGUUAUGCACUUCUAGAACCUUCCAAAGAUGCUCCACAUAUCCCAGAAUAAUAUAUUUUACCCUUACAGAAAAGUAUCAAUGAAUGCCCUACUGGGAUCCUCUAUUGUCAUUGCCCUUCUUAAUUGACUCAUGACUUGUUUCUUUUGCAUUGGGAAGCUAACUAUGAUAAUAAGUUUUUUGAGUAUCAAAUAUAUUCUUACUAUGUCCCAUAAAAUCUCUCAUAGUUUCUUCAUCUCAAUCGUGGCUUUGUCAGGCAUCACGCUAAUUCCUUUUUUCUCACCAUGUGAGUAGUUUAGAUUUAUUUUAAUGUUGCAUGAAUAGUGCAACUAAGGUUCUCAGUACUGUCUCGAAUCGGAUGGUUCGGGGCGUGCCGAACCGGACCAGCGGAGAAUCGAGAUGGUACCGAUGGAGAAAAUGGCACAUACCGGUGCCGGAGAAGAAAGAGAGGGAAACAGAAGGGGAGAGAGAGAGGAGAAGUGGGAGAGGCCGAUGGCCCUCUACGAAAGCUGGCGGUGGCCCUUUGCGGCUGUCGGAGGGUGGCGGAAGCUGCCGCGGUUUAGUUCGCCUGAUGGGGCUGCCGCAACGAGCGAGAAAGAGAGAGAGGAGGGGAGACCACCAGAGAUGGAAGGACGAGAUGGCGAAGAGGCCGUCGGAGGUCUCUGGGUGGCCGUCGUGGCCAUCGAAUGGUGGAAGUGGCGCGGGUGGAGGUGCGGAAGUAGGGUCGGACCGACUUUAAGUCGGGCUUUGGGCUUAGCCCGAAACAAUUCAGGCCGAGUUUGGGCUUCAAUAUAGGGCCCGUUUGUCUUUCGGAUCGGGCUCGGGCAUAUUUUUGACCCGGUCUGAGCCCAAUGCAGGCCCGAACCCAAAUCUCAACCCGAUCAAUAGUCCAAAAAAUCUUAUUAAAAACCUAAUAGCCCGGUCAAAUCUGAUUCUAAAUAAGUUAAUCCAAUCAAUAGUGUGAGUCCAAUCUUGACCAAUUAGGACUCGCCUUAAAAUUCCAAAUCAAUUCGUCUAUCCAGUUGCUUAAAAUCCCUUCUCCACCUGAUGCACCCAUCUUCCAAUCUUCCCCCAUCGCUCUCUUCGCCCUAGUUGUGUCCGUCUGCCGCGCUUGUUCGUCCGCCACCCAAAAACUACCCCAACCCACCCUCAUCUGAUUCCUCGGAGAUUGGCAGAGCAGAAAGCACCGCACGGUCCGUCCUCCGACGACAUCCGAUCCUCUGACGUUCAUACUCCAUGCGGUCUUCACCUUCACAUCCGUACCAACCCCCCUUCGACAUCAUCGACUCCUGGAAGCACCCACUGGAGGGAUCCUCCACCUGCCCCCGUGAUUAGGGCGGGAUCUCCUGCGACAACUCUAGCGUUGUGGUCUCCCUCAGUCUUGACCUCACUAGCGGGAUCUCCUGUGACAACUUCGCAACCUCUCCCUUUCCGACAGAGGAGGGGAGGGAGGGCCGACGAUCGGGGAGGGAGGCGACGAAGCGUAUGGAAGUUUUGCGAAAGAGAGAGGUGGGAAGGAGAGAGAAAUAAAGAGAAGAGGGAAGGAGUUGGGCUAGAUCUCAAGCUUGGGCUCGGGAUUGGGCCGGCCCGAUUAGGUUCCGACCGAGUUCGGGCUCGGAUCAGGCUCGGGCCUUAUGUUUAAAUUUUUUCCGGACCUAAGCCCAGCCCGAAGCCCAAAAAAAUAUUUCGGGCUGGGCUCGGGUAGAGGUGUGGCCCGGCAUAUUUCCAGCCUUACAUGAAAGUGGUGGGUGUCAGCCAUUUUUAAAAGGAAAAGACGAACGGUGAAGCCGGCACUUGGUUUGCCGACUUCACUGUUUUAGAAUUUUUUAAAAAUAGUUUAAAAAUAGUGAAGUCGGCACUCGAUUUGCCGGCUUCACUAUUUCAAACUUUUUUAAAAAAAAUCUAGAAAUAGUGAAACCGACAAUGGAUUGCCGGCUUUACCAUUAUCAAGCUUUUUUUAAAAAAUCUGUGAAACAGGGACGAUCACCCCUGUUUCACUCCACAGACGGCGUUUACGCCGCUUGACGGCCACGACGGUCAGUCGAAGGCCCUCCGAUGACCUCUCUGGCAGAUCCCCCUCCCUCUUUCUCUUCCUCUUUUUUUCUCUCUUUCUCUCUUUUUCUCCUCCGGUCCUCCCUUUGUCGGUUUGCACCGUUUCAAUCCAGUACAGAACCGUAACGGACCAUGCGACCGACCGAAGCAGCCAUCGAGAUCGGUUUUCAAAACUUUGAGUGCAACCAUUAUGAUUAAUGCUUUAAGACAUUGGGGAGUGACUCGCAUUAGGAACAUAGGGUUUUCCAGAAAAUUUGGGAAGUCAAAAAACUUCUUUGAGUUUCAAAUCAGAUAUUGACAUGUUAUUGGGUAAAACAAACAUUAUUCUUAACAGUUGCACCAGGGACAUACAUUAACAGGACCCCUAUUACAGGCCAAAAAGAUAGAACUGCUAAUGCUGUUAAACCUAAAAUAAGAAGAAUGUUAAUAAUAAUUAAAACAUAAGAACUGAUUUUCCUACUUCGCAACCACUCAUAAAAUGCAGCCAAAUUGACCUAUCUUUUGGAGAACAGGCAGAGGAAGAGGGGAAUACCUGAUUUUAUUUAUUUAUUUUUCUUUUUACAAGAUCCUAAACUUCGGCCAUAAAAAUCUAGAAAUUAAAGCCCUAAUAUUUCCUUCCUGCAGCUUUCCCCCCAGGAACUAAUCGAGCAAAACCUGUUCCUCAUAUUUUCUCCAGCCAUCUCUUCUCUCUCUAGUUAGUGGCUUAGAAUCAAUAAAUACAUCGAUCCGAAACAGCACUAAUAACCAACGCGAGUGAUCUCGUGAGCAUUUCUGGGUUAAAAUAGUGGCUCGUAGACAUACUGGAGAGAGCUGAAACGAACCAAGCUGCGAACUUUAUAGCAGAAAAGGAUUUAAUGAAAGAGAACGAGAAGAAAACUAAACGGCGCUACUUGGUUGAAAUCAAAGACUUCAACGAAAGGGAAACACAAAGAAAAGAAGAAAUUGUUCCAGAUUAGAUACAAAGUUAGGGCGCGUAUCAUCAAACUAGAAACAGGAAUCAGUAGUCAUCGGUCUUGCACACAAGAUAGAAGAAUCCAUGAAUCUUAGAUCGCUGGUCAGAUGUUAUUAGGGUAUUAUCGAUCGGAUAUCCCCAAAAACAUUAAUCAAAUCAGAGCAAAGGAAAUCUAUGUAUUCCCCAGAAAAGGAUUUUUUUUUCUUUUUCUUGAUAUAAAACAGAGUACAGGGAGGAGAUAUUUACCGCGUUGCUUUUUUUUACCCCUCGUUCCGCUGCUCCCUCUCUCGCUCUCUCACUCUCUG